Vicia villosa (hairy vetch) is the source of this 2054-nucleotide RNA transcript. It is a transcript of the gene named serine protease SPPA, chloroplastic-like, with no coding region annotated. The transcript is spliced from 5 exons. The record is from RefSeq and is a predicted model, not a curated record. NCBI's taxonomy places the organism in Eukaryota, Viridiplantae, Streptophyta, Magnoliopsida, Fabales, Fabaceae.
AUAUAAUAUAAUAAAUUCCAAUAUUCCACACUUCUCAUUCUCUGCUUCAAAACUUGUUCGAUUUUGCAGUACUUACUCUCCAUUUAUGGCCAAAGGCGUGAUAUCUGAUGACGAAGAUGAGGUUGAGGUUGAGAUGCACGAGAGAGAGCCUGUUGAUGGUGAAGAAUUGGAAGAAGGAGGUCGAGAUAUGGACAAGGACGAUGUGGAUGAAGAAGAAGAGGGUAUGAACUUUGAUUGUUCUGAAGUGUUUUUGCUGUUUACAAUUUCUAUUGGGUUUUUUCUUACUUUUUGUUCUCACUGGCUGCGGAUAAUUUUUUAGAAUACUGGGGAUUUCAAAUUAGGGUUUUCCCUUGCGGCAUUGUUUGAUUUUGGUAUGAAAUAUGACUUAUGUUAAGUGCUUGAAAGUUGUUUUUUAUUAGAUUGAUGAUGCAAUGAAUUGUUGUGUUGAUGUUGAAAAUGGAGUCGAGGUGAUGUAUUAUUGUGUUGUGUGCUACCUCUACGUCGAUCCGGUGACGUCAAGUUUGGCUACUUUGAUAUGUGAAUUUGCAGAUCUAUGUGACAAGUGCGUGUAAUGUUUCUCUCAAUUUCAGAUUGAUAUGCAUGGGUGAGUUUGAAAAUUAAUGUGUGUGGGAAUUGGAAGUCAUUUUUUAUAUCAGUACUCAUUUAAAGGCAUGCAAAAAAAAUUGUAGUUACUAUUAAAUUAUAGAACAAUGCUUUUAACACUUUCUUUUAUAGUAUGAUGGUUCCAGCACAGGACAAGCUCCUGGAAAAGAUAGUGAAGUUAUUUUAUACAUAAAUUAGAAGAAGCUGUUCGAAGAAAUGUCGAGGAGAAGCUUCAAACAGAGGAAGUCAAGUUGGAAAUAGAAAGGCGCAUUGCAGAGGGGUUGAAGAAGAAGUAUGAAGAUGUUGAAGUUCAACUUGAAAAAGAAAAGCAAGAAAUGCUUGUUGAAGCUAAAAGAAAACAAGAAAAUUUGUUGUAGCUUAUGUCCCUACAUGUCAAGAAAAAGAAUAUUACCUUGCUUGUGCAUGUGAAGAGAUAUAUGCCCCUCCAAGUGCUUACUUUUCUUUGUUCGGAUUGAGUGUUAAAGCUUCAUUCCUCAGAGGUGUUUUAGAUAACAUAGGAAUUGAACCACAAGUGGAGAGGAUUGGCAAGUACAAAAGUGCAGGAGAUCAAUUAGCUCGAAGGACCAUGUCUGAUGAAAAUUAUGAGAUGCUGACUGCAUUGCUUGAUAACAUCUAUACAAAUUGGCUGGAUAAAGUCUCUUCUGCCAAAGGUACUUUUACAUUUGAAAUUUAAGUUGAAUCUUGUAUCACUAAAUAAUUGUGAGAUGCUGACUGCAUUGCUUGAUAAGUAGAUGUUUCAGUCACGAUACAGUCCCAAAUCUUCUACCUGGAAUGCAGCGUGUCUUUAACUUUUUAGAAUCCUUUAUAGUAUGUACAACAGACAUCCUUUGCCCCUCACUUGCCAAUAAAGAGACAAACAUUUUAUUUUUAAUAGUGGAAUCUAUUUUGCUUUCUCUUUAAUUAGUAGAACUUUUCCUUAAUUUUAUACUUCAUAAGUGGUUUGACAUUUGCCAACAGACUCUUCUGAUUAUUUUAUAUAUGGAUGUGUGUACAUGGGGGAUAUCUAUGUAAUGGAUUAUUUUUAAGAACCCGGCCUCAAUGAAAACUUGCCCUAUAAAGGAUGAUUCUGCAGUGAGCUGUGUGGAAAAAGCUAAAACGAACACCAGUUAAUCUAUUGUGUGUGAAAUUUGAAUCCCUAGUAAUUUUUUUUGUUUUUACUUCUCUCAAUGACCUUGUGGUUUUCUGCCCAGUAUUCUCCCACAGCCUCAUCUAAUUCCUCAUUGGGAUUUUCUUCUAUCUGGUUGCAUCUUGGGAUUUUCCUACUGUUGUAACACUGAUUCAUUUCCAGCCAAAGAGUUUUACCAUGGUGUUAUAGUAUGACAUUUUGGGUUCCUUGUUUGGACUACCAAAAUUGAGCUUAGAGAUAAAAAAUCUGAGACGAGUUCUCCAAGUUAGAAUAGCAAUUGAGGAUUAUUCUGCACCUACAGCUG